GUGCCAGCAGCCGCGGUAAUACGGAGGGUGCGAGCGUUGUCCGGAUUUAUUGGGUUUAAAGGGUGCGUAGGUGGCCUGUUAAGUCAGUGGUGAAAUACGGUUGCUCAACAAUCGAGGUGCCAUUGAUACUGACCGGCUUGAAAUAAUUGGAGGCUGCCGGAAUGGAUGGUGUAGCGGUGAAAUGCAUAGAUAUCAUCCAGAACACCGAUUGCGAAGGCAGGUGGCUACGAUUGGUUUGACACUGAGGCACGAAAGCAUGGGGAGCAAACAGGAUUAGAUACCCUGGUAGUCC
This 292-nucleotide ribosomal RNA is filed under the name uncultured bacterium. RNAcentral's name for it is "partial 16S ribosomal RNA". It matches the Rfam family "Bacterial small subunit ribosomal RNA", at positions 505 to 796 of the family's 1533-position model. The record is from RNAcentral.